RNAcentral lists this transfer RNA (76 nucleotides) under Lactiplantibacillus plantarum. RNAcentral's name for it is "Lactobacillus plantarum tRNA-Val". It matches the Rfam family "tRNA". Rfam says of the family: Transfer RNA (tRNA) molecules are approximately 80 nucleotides in length. Lineage: Bacteria; Bacillati; Bacillota; Bacilli; Lactobacillales; Lactobacillaceae. The record is from RNAcentral.
GGAGGAUUAGCUCAGUUGGGAGCUCGUCUGCCUUACAAGCAGAGGGUCAUAGGGUCGAGCCCUGUAUCCUCCAUCA